Molecule: ribosomal RNA, 492 nt
Filed under: uncultured bacterium
Lineage: Bacteria
Description: partial 16S ribosomal RNA
Rfam family: Bacterial small subunit ribosomal RNA
Source: RNAcentral
GAUGAACGCUAGCUACAGGCUUAACACAUGCAAGUCGAGGGGAAACGACAUCGAAAGCUUGCUUUUGAUGGGCGUCGACCGGCGCACGGGUGAGUAACGCGUAUCCAACCUGCCCAUCACUUGGGAAUAACCUUGCGAAAGUAAGACUAAUACCCAAUGACAUCCCACGAAGACAUCUGAAUGGGAUUAAAGAUUUAUCGGUGAUGGAUGGGGAUGCGUCUGAUUAGCUUGUUGGCGGGGUAACGGCCCACCAAGGCAACGAUCAGUAGGGGUUCUGAGAGGAAGGUCCCCCACAUUGGAACUGAGGCACGGUCCAAACUCCUACGGGAGGCAGCAGUGAGGAAGAUUGGUCAAUGGGCGAGAGCCUGAACCAGCCAAGUAGCGUGCAGGAUGACGGCCCUAUGGGUUGUAAACUGCUUUUAUAAGGGAAUAAAGUGGGUCUCGUGAGACUUUUUGCAUGUACCUUAUGAAUAAGGACCGGCUAAUUCCGUG